GGAGGGUGCAGCGGCGCGGUCGCCGCAACCCGCUGAUACCGGUGUUCUGGGAGUGAUCCUUCCGGUGGGUUCGAUUCCCACGCCCUCCGCCA
RNAcentral lists this transfer RNA (92 nucleotides) under Gemmatimonadota bacterium. RNAcentral's name for it is "tRNA-Ile". The record is from RNAcentral. Lineage: Bacteria; Pseudomonadati; Gemmatimonadota.